GGGCGUUAAGUUGCAGGGUAUAGACCCGAAACCCGGUGAUCUAGCCAUGGGCAGGUUGAAGGUUGGGUAACACUAACUGGAGGACCGAACCGACUAAUGUUGAAAAAUUAGCGGAUGACCUGUGGCUGGGGGUGAAAGGCCAAUCAAACCGGGAGAUAGCUGGUUCUCCCCGAAAGCUAUUUAGGUAGCGCCUCGUGAAUUCAUCUCCGGGGGUAGAGCACUGUUUCGGCUAGGGGGCCAUCCCGGCUUACCAACCCGAUGCAAACUGCGAAUACCGGAGAAUGUUAUCACGGGAGACACACGGCGGGUGCUAACGUCCGUCGUGAAGAGGGAAACAACCCAGACCGCCAGCUAAGGUCCCAAAGUCAUGGUUAAGUGGGAAACGAUGUGGGAAGGCCCAGACAGCCAGGAUGUUGGCUUAGAAGCAGCCAUCAUUUAAAGAAAGCGUAAUAGCUCACUGGUCGAGUCGGCCUGCGCGGAAGAUGUAACGGGGCUAAACCAUGCACCGAAGCUGCGGCAGCGAACGUAUCACCCAAGACAACUUUACGGAGUUGACGAUUGACGGAGCGAAGCGACGUCAAAGCGUUCAUUAAAGUCGAGUUGGCUUAGGGAUACGUUCGUUGGGUAGGGGAGCGUUCUGUAAGCCUGUGAAGGUGUGUCGUGAGGCAUGCUGGAGGUAUCAGAAGUGCGAAUGCUGACAUAAGUAACGAUAAAGCGGGUGAAAAGCCCGCUCGCCGGAAGACCAAGGGUUCCUGUCCAACGUUAAUCGGGGCAGGGUGAGUCGACCCCUAAGGCGAGGCCGAAAGGCGUAGUCGAUGGGAAACGGGUUAAUAUUCCCGUACUUGGUGUUACUGCGAAGGGGGGACGGAGAAGGCUAUGUUGGCCGGGCGACGGUUGUCCCGGUUUAAGCGUGUAGGUGUGUGUUCCAGGUAAAUCCGGUUCACUUUAACACUGAGGCGUGACGACGAGGCACUACGGUGCUGAAGCAACAAAUGCCCUGCUUCCAGGAAAAGCCUCUAAGCAUCAGGUAACACGAAAUCGUACCCCAAACCGACACAGGUGGUCAGGUAGAGAAUACCAAGGCGCUUGAGAGAACUCGGGUGAAGGAACUAGGCAAAAUGGUGCCGUAACUUCGGGAGAAGGCACGCUGACACGUAGGUGAAGUGAUUUACUCAUGGAGCUGAAGUCAGUCGAAGAUACCAGCUGGCUGCAACUGUUUAUUAAAAACACAGCACUGUGCAAACACGAAAGUGGACGUAUACGGUGUGACGCCUGCCCGGUGCCGGAAGGUUAAUUGAUGGGGUCAGCGCAAGCGAAGCUCCUGAUCGAAGCCCCGGUAAACGGCGGCCGUAACUAUAACGGUCCUAAGGUAGCGAAAUUCCUUGUCGGGUAAGUUCCGACCUGCACGAAUGGCGUAAUGAUGGCCAGGCUGUCUCCACCCGAGACUCAGUGAAAUUGAACUCGCUGUGAAGAUGCAGUGUACCCGCGGCAAGACGGAAAGACCCCGUGAACCUUUACUAUAGCUUGACACUGAACAUUGAGCCUUGAUGUGUAGGAUAGGUGGGAGGCUUUGAAGUGUGGACGCCAGUCUGCAUGGAGCCGACCUUGAAAUACCACCCUUUAAUGUUUGAUGUUCUAACGUGGACCCGUAAUCCGGGUUGCGGACAGUGUCUGGUGGGUAGUUUGACUGGGGCGGUCUCCUCCUAAAGAGUAACGGAGGAGCACGAAGGUUGGCUAAUCCUGGUCGGACAUCAGGAGGUUAGUGCAAUGGCAUAAGCCAGCUUGACUGCGAGCGUGACGGCGCGAGCAGGUGCGAAAGCAGGUCAUAGUGAUCCGGUGGUUCUGAAUGGAAGGGCCAUCGCUCAACGGAUAAAAGGUACUCCGGGGAUAACAGGCUGAUACCGCCCAAGAGUUCAUAUCGACGGCGGUGUUUGGCACCUCGAUGUCGGCUCAUCACAUCCUGGGGCUGAAGUAGGUCCCAAGGGUAUGGC
This 1991-nucleotide ribosomal RNA is filed under the name Salmonella enterica subsp. enterica serovar Typhimurium. Its description in RNAcentral is "partial 23S ribosomal RNA". It matches the Rfam family "Bacterial large subunit ribosomal RNA", at positions 690 to 2577 of the family's 2925-position model. Lineage: Bacteria; Pseudomonadati; Pseudomonadota; Gammaproteobacteria; Enterobacterales; Enterobacteriaceae. The record is from RNAcentral.